RNAcentral lists this ribosomal RNA (688 nucleotides) under uncultured Burkholderiaceae bacterium. Its description in RNAcentral is "bacterial SSU rRNA". It matches the Rfam family "Bacterial small subunit ribosomal RNA", at positions 28 to 708 of the family's 1533-position model. Lineage: Bacteria; Pseudomonadati; Pseudomonadota; Betaproteobacteria; Burkholderiales; Burkholderiaceae. The record is from RNAcentral.
AAUGACGCUACGGGGAUGCUUCCACCCUCCCAAGUUGAACGGCAGCGCGGACUUCGGUCUGGCGGCGAGUGGCGAACGGGUGAGUAAUGUAUCGGAACGUACCCAGUAGCGGGGGAUAACUACUCGAAAGAGUAGCUAAUACCGCAUACGCCCUACGGGGGAAAGGGGGGGAUCUUAGGACCUCUCACUAUUGGAGCGGCCGAUAUCGGAUUAGCUAGUUGGUGAGGUAAAGGCUCACCAAGGCGACGAUCCGUAGCUGGUUUGAGAGGACGACCAGCCACACUGGGACUGAGACACGGCCCAGACUCCUACGGGAGGCAGCAGUGGGGAAUUUUGGACAAUGGGGGCAACCCUGAUCCAGCCAUCCCGCGUGUGCGAUGAAGGCCUUCGGGUUGUAAAGCACUUUUGGCAGGAAAGAAAUUGCGCAGGCUAAUACCCUGUGUGGAUGACGGUACCUGCAGAAUAAGCACCGGCUAACUACGUGCCAGCAGCCGCGGUAAUACGUAGGGUGCAAGCGUUAAUCGGAAUUACUGGGCGUAAAGCGUGCGCAGGCGGAUUCGGAAAGAAAGAUGUGAAAUCCCAGGGGCUUAACCUUGGAACUGCAUUUUUAACUACCGGGCUAGAGUGCGUCAGAGGGGGGUGGAAUUCCGCGUGUAGCAGUUGAAAUGCGUAGAGAUGCGGAGGAACA